Molecule: ribosomal RNA, 449 nt
Filed under: uncultured bacterium
Lineage: Bacteria
Description: partial 16S ribosomal RNA
Rfam family: Bacterial small subunit ribosomal RNA
Source: RNAcentral
AACGAACGCUGGCGGCAUGCCUAAUACAUGCAAGUCGAACGAGAUCUUCGGAUCUAGUGGCGCACGGGUGCGUAACGCGUGGGAAUCUGCCCUUGGGUUCGGAAUAACGUCGGGAAACUGACGCUAAUACCGGAUGAUGACGUAAGUCCAAAGAUUUAUCGCCCAAGGAUGAGCCCGCGUAGGAUUAGCUAGUUGGUAAGGUAAAGGCUUACCAAGGCGACGAUCCUUAGCUGGUCUGAGAGGAUGAUCAGCCACACUGGGACUGAGACACGGCCCAGACUCCGCCGGGAGGCAGCAGUAGGGAAUAUUGGACAAGGGGGGAAACCCGGAUCCAGCAAUGCCGCGUGAGCGAGGAAGGCCUUAGGGUUGUAAAGCUCUUUUACCCGGGAUGAUAAGAACAGUACCGGGAGAAUAAGCCCCGGCUAACUCCGUGCCAGCCGCCGCCGUAA